RNAcentral lists this ribosomal RNA (292 nucleotides) under uncultured bacterium. Its description in RNAcentral is "partial 16S ribosomal RNA". It matches the Rfam family "Bacterial small subunit ribosomal RNA", at positions 505 to 796 of the family's 1533-position model. The record is from RNAcentral.
GUGCCAGCAGCCGCGGUAAUACGAAGGGGGCUAGCGUUGUUCGGAAUGACUGGGCGUAAAGGGCGCGUAGGCGGCGAUUUUAGUCAGGCGUGAAAGCCCUGGGCUCAACCUAGGAACUGCGUUUGAUACUGGAUCGCUUGAGUGUGGGAGAGGAUGGUGGAAUUCCCAGUGUAGAGGUGAAAUUCGUAGAUAUUGGGAAGAACACCGGUGGCGAAGGCGGCCAUCUGGACCACUACUGACGCUGAGGCGCGAAAGCGUGGGGAGCAAACAGGAUUAGAUACCCUGGUAGUCC